Pseudophryne corroboree (corroboree frog) is the source of this 245-nucleotide small nucleolar RNA. RefSeq annotates it as small nucleolar RNA SNORA53. NCBI's taxonomy places the organism in Eukaryota, Metazoa, Chordata, Amphibia, Anura, Myobatrachidae. The transcript has a single exon. The record is from RefSeq and is a predicted model, not a curated record.
AACAUGCUCCCUUAGAUCCACCUUUUGUGGAUGUUCAGCUCGUUCUGAGUUCUGCUGGGUCCUUCCAGCAGUUCCAGUCCAGUGGCAUCCAGCAACUUUUUUGGUUGUACAGUCAAAGGUGCUUGAGUCAUUGGCAUGUGAGAAUAACAUACCUUCACAUUAGCUAUCUAUGUUCUAAUGGCAGCGGCUGCAGUCUUACUGUGCGUCGUGUCUCACCAAUAGGACUUGGCUGAUGUGUGGACAAA